GACGAACGCUGGCGGCGUGCUUAACACAUGCAAGUCGAACGGAAAGGCCCAGCUUGCUGGGUGCUCGAGUGGCGAACGGGUGAGUAACACGUGGGUGAUCUGCCCCUAACUUCGGGAUAAGCUUGGGAAGCUGGGUCUAAUACCGGAUAGGACAAUCGUUUAGUGUCGGUUGUGGAAAGUUUUUUCGGUUAGGGAUGAGCCCGCGGCCUAUCAGCUUGUUGGUGGGGUAAUGGCCUACCAAGGCGUCGACGGGUAGCCGGCCUGAGAGGGUGGACGGCCACAUUGGGACUGAGAUACGGCCCAGACUCCUACGGGAGGCAGCAGUGGGGAAUAUUGCACAAUGGGCGCAAGCCUGAUGCAGCGACGCCGCGUGGGGGAUGACGGCCUUCGGGUUGUAAACCUCUUUCGACAGGGACGAAGCUUUGGUGACGGUACCUGUAUAAGAAGCACCGGCUAACUACGUG
Molecule: ribosomal RNA, 464 nt
Filed under: uncultured bacterium
Lineage: Bacteria
Description: partial 16S ribosomal RNA
Rfam family: Bacterial small subunit ribosomal RNA
Source: RNAcentral